GACGCCAGUUACAACUCACCAGUGCCAAGGGGCAACUGCUUUCUAAAGCUCCGGAAAGUUGACACUCUGAUGAAAUAAAUUAAUUAUUACAAUAAUUUAUAUCGUUUGCAAAUGGUUUGCAUGUGAAAGCUAGCUAAAAAUUUCUGUUUGCAAGUGCUCCAAAAUUUUUUUAUGAAUUUUUUAAAAAAUUAUAAAAUGUGGUGCUAUCUUUCCGAAAGUUGGCACCAUAUUUUCCGAAAAUAAAUGAUAGACGGUUCGGCAGGGGCUUAAUGGAUGCGGAAUCGUUUGCAAGAGAUUGAUAGUGAAACUAUUAAUAGUUUGCAUUAUUUUUCUUGUCAUAAAUUAAUAAUAACAGCUGGCGUUAAAAAGUGACAGGAGUUUCUGGCUUCAACGACGAGGGGGCGCCACCAUGCCAGCAAAAUACUAAUCAUUCUGGAAAAGGCUUAAUCUAACAUUGAUGAUUCAUCGAGCACGUAAACCAAUCCCAUCGGCUUCAUAUACUUA
Molecule: long non-coding RNA, 504 nt
Organism: Fopius arisanus
Lineage: Eukaryota; Metazoa; Arthropoda; Insecta; Hymenoptera; Braconidae
Exons: 2
Source: RefSeq, a predicted model, not a curated record